RNAcentral lists this ribosomal RNA (319 nucleotides) under uncultured bacterium. RNAcentral describes it as "bacterial SSU rRNA". It matches the Rfam family "Bacterial small subunit ribosomal RNA", at positions 18 to 344 of the family's 1533-position model. The record is from RNAcentral.
CAUGGCUCAGGAUGAACGCUAGCGGCAGGCCUAACACAUGCAAGUCGCGGGAGGAGCUUUCGGGCUUCGACCGGCGUACGGGUGCGUAACGCGUAUCCAAUCUGCCUUUCACAUAGGGAUAGCCCGAAGAAAUUUGGAUUAAUACCUAAUAGUAUAUAGAUGUGGCAUCACAUUUAUAUUAAAGCUGAUGCGGUGAAAGAUGAGUAUGCGUUCUAUUAGCGAGUUGGAGCGGUAACGGCUCCCCAAGGCUAUGAUAGAUAGGGGUUCUGAGAGGGAUAUCCCCCACACUGGUACUGAGAUACGGACCAGACUCCUACGG